GCAGCAGAGCAUCUCAUGUCCGUUUUCCCCUGCUCCACACUCCAGCCCACUGCAGGAGCGAUUGCGGGUGUUUUUUCCUGAAGAGGAUUAAGGAGCACAGUCUCGACGGAAAAGAAGGAGAGAGCAGGUAAACAGAGGUGCAAAGUCAUCAUCUCUAAGAAACACCCAAGAAAUAAGUACAGGAAAAUGGGGAUCAAUAACACUCACUCACUUCAGCAAAGCACCUUGAGGUCAGCCUGUGAGAGAUGCUGGAGGAGUGGGGACUAUCAUUCAUUGGUGUGGACUUGCAGCCCACUGCCUACUCCAUGGAACCUAAGCCACAGCUGGUAAACACAGCAUCAAAUGUGAUUUCUUUGGCAUUCUUCUCUAAAGCAUUGCCAGCCUUCCUUCAUGUAUAUUGUUUGCAGUGACCUUCUGUGCUUUGUCUUUGUUCAUAUACCAGCUCAGACAGGGCUGGUUUUAUUAUCCAGCAGGGCCCCUGGUGUGAACACGAGCAUCUAGAACGGUGCUGAUGGUUGGUAGGACAUUAGAGUACACCAUAGCAGACCCUGAUCCAUGUACAAUAAAGGGACCUAAGUAAAAGUGCUGGGCAGAUGGCUGACUGCAAGUGCCUGACUUUGAUGUUGCAACAACUUCUCCCUCUUUAUGGCAUAAAAAGGCACAGUCUGGUAGUCCUAAAUACUAGGCAAUGAAUCACCUACUUAAUGACUGUAAUAGGCAGCCAGAACACAGUCCACAGCCUUUUGGGGUCUGUCCAGUGUCUACUUGCCUGUCUGUAAGCACACAUCUAAAAAUAAUAAUUGACCCCUGAUUCAUAGGGUCAGUACUUUUACAUACCUACAUUUUUAUGAUGAAAAAGGAAAAGUGUUUUCUUCAUGGGGUUUAAUUUACAAAUUAAACUGGAAAAUUGUUGAACUGGUGUUACA
Falco peregrinus (peregrine falcon) is the source of this 926-nucleotide long non-coding RNA. RefSeq lists it as uncharacterized. Lineage: Eukaryota; Metazoa; Chordata; Aves; Falconiformes; Falconidae. The transcript is spliced from 3 exons. The record is from RefSeq and is a predicted model, not a curated record.